RNAcentral lists this ribosomal RNA (253 nucleotides) under uncultured bacterium. Its description in RNAcentral is "partial 16S ribosomal RNA". It matches the Rfam family "Bacterial small subunit ribosomal RNA", at positions 524 to 776 of the family's 1533-position model. The record is from RNAcentral.
UACAGAGGAGCCAAGCGUUGUCCGGAUUGACUGGGCGUAAAGCGCACGCAGGCGGUUUGGCGCGUGGGGUGUGAAAUCUGGCCGCUUAACGGCCAGGCGCCAUCCCAUACGGCGCGACUGGAGCGAUGCAGAGGUCGGUGGAACUGCCGGUGUAGUGGUGAAAUGCGUAGAGAUCGGCAGGAACACCCAGGGGGAAACCAGCCGACUGGGCAUCUGCUGACGCUGAUGUGCGAGAGCGUGGGGAGCGAACCGG